GGGAUGCAUGGCGCAGCUGAUGCAGCCAUGCCGCGUGAGUGAUGAAGGCCUUCGGGUUGUAAAGCUCUUUCGCCAGGGAAGAAAAUGACUGUAUUUAUAUGAGAAUGACCGGACAAUUCCUUGCCAGCACGCCUGAUUUUAAUACAUGCCCCGCGCCGCUAUAAUAA
RNAcentral lists this ribosomal RNA (167 nucleotides) under uncultured bacterium. RNAcentral describes it as "partial 16S ribosomal RNA". The record is from RNAcentral.